CCCGGUGGCCACCAGGUUCUCCUUGUUGUCUAGCCCUGCCUCUCCUGCCGCACUCCUGUGUUCUAGCUGGACAUGGACACCAGCAGCUCAUCAUCCCCACGUGAAGGGCGAGAAAGCUGAGGCUCUGAGAGAUGAAUCAACCCUCCACAGGCCACAGGGCAAAACCCUAAAGCGAAGACACGGUCAGGAUGGCUUCCUGGGCAGAGGUAUGCCAUGUCAUGGGAUGCAAUGUCUGGAACUUCAGCAGCUAUCUUGUGCCUAUGAGGGAAGUCACAACAACUGAGGAUCACGGAGGAGCAAGAAGGGAGCAGCAGUACUGGACAGCCAAAGCUGUCCCGAGGAGCUAGAAAAUGGAACAGAUGAUUGCUAUGCCUCCUGCUUUUCUCAGCAUCCAGCUGACUGGGUCUCCUGCCAUGAAGCUAAACACGAGCCAGGGUUUAGAAAUGCGCUGUUUGCUCAUCAGGCCAUGCACAGUUUGCUGACAACUACCCACUUGGCUUCUUCAGCCAGACUUCCCAGACCUCGACUGUAUCAUCAAGACCCUCUGCAAGGAACAGAACCCCAAUCCCAAACGGUUCAGGCAGUUCUUAUUUCCUAAGAAGAGAAGUCCUGAGGCCCGAUGGCUCCAGGAAGUGGAUCUGCCCGGUUAUCAAGAUCCAGGUUCUGUCUGUCCUGCUCUGCUCUCGACGUUUGCUCCUCAAGCACCACAGCUCCCCUGGUGGCUGCAAGAUGGCUGCUGACACUGCAGACACCACCUGUGGACACGAUAUGUCUGCAGGUUGGAGAGGGACCAUCUUUUUCCAUGGGAUAUUUUUGAAAUCAAGAAACCUUUCUUCUGAAGCACCCCUAGCAAAUU
Long non-coding RNA from Tupaia belangeri chinensis (Chinese tree shrew), 856 nucleotides. RefSeq lists it as uncharacterized. The record is from RefSeq and is a predicted model, not a curated record. The transcript is spliced from 4 exons. NCBI's taxonomy places the organism in Eukaryota, Metazoa, Chordata, Mammalia, Scandentia, Tupaiidae.